AUUCAUGUGUGUACAUUAUCUCUUUAUGAAAAAAAAUCUAAAUAUAUGUGACUUAGAAAAGUGUAAAAUCAUGUCAUUUUACAUUAUGAAUGAAAGUUUGUUUGUCUUUUCAGUUGAAGCUUUUCCUUGUGACCUUAUAAUGAUUCAGACGUCAACCUCUGACAUUCUUUAAUGAGGUUACUUGACUCUUCCCUUCAUUUUAGGCUACAGGGAACAUCUCUAACAGGUUCAGUAUAUAAACCCAUUGGAACUUCACUGUCCAAGGUUAGCUAAUCCCCAAGUGACACAAAUGCUCAUAUAAACAAGGAGUCCUACCCAUGUGACCACCAGCUUACACAGCGUCACCAAGUCUUUAUAAACCACACAUGGGACGACUCCUACGGGACAUCACGACAGGCCAGGUGUGUGCUCUCUGAACCAGGGGGCAGCGUGUCUCCGGACACCAGGGAGAGCUGCUUUUGAAACUCCCAAAAGCAGGAGAAGAUCAAGGGAAAAGGAAGCAGAGGAAGUUGCCAAGCAGAGGGUCCUAAGGGCUUUUUGGCUGCACUGCAUUCAUCCCAGCUGUAAGAGACUUUGGAGACAUUCACCAUGUUUUUUCGCAUCCUUCCUCGAUUGACCCCUGGAUAUAUCAGAUACCUCCAGACCCAGGCAGCUCAGACCGUCCUGCAGCCCCGGGAUGGCCCUUUGAUGCCCCGCACAGCUCUCCUCCUGGGACUGACGGGCGUGGGCAUGUCCGGAUACAGCACCCGCCAGCUCACUCUCAACUACAAGCCUGCCAGUCACCUCUUUAAAUAAGAUGCAUAGUCAUGUAAAAUAUUUUUUUUAUUAUUACACCCAUAAUACAUCUGUGGUUUAAGUCUAACAUCAUCCUAGUUCUGGUUUAUUAAGUUAUUGCCUUAAGGUUUAAGUUUGUGUGAAUAAGUGGAUAUGUCCCACAUUAAAAACUACCUCAGGUCUAACACGUUGUAUGUGAGCAUGCAGUGAAACAGAAAGGCAGCUAUGGAUGAUAUUUUUAUUGAAUUAUUUGGAUGAUCUCAGGCUUGAACCACUUUUUGUAGCUAAUGUCAUAUAUUUUUUAACAUUUGCUUAGAAUAAUGUACUUAAAAUGUACUUUCAAAUAAGCAUAAAUGUCUGAUUAAUUUCUAUGUCCAUCCUCAAUUGGAGUGACAAAUGAUCCGAAGCAACAUUCACUUCUUCAGAGGAUCAAAGUUCAAAUAACAUUUUCUAUUUGAUUCUGGAAUUUGAUUGUUGAGUUCAGAUAUUUGCCUCCUGCAAUGUAUUAUUCUAAAUUCUUAAGAAUUCUAAAUCAUUCAUGGUGAGGGUGCCAGGUAGCUGUGCAUAAUCCUCCUUGCUAAAUUAAUAUAUAUAUGUAUAUAGUUAUGGUUAUGAUGUAUUUGCACAUUAAUGUCCCACCCUUUAAAUUCUAUGCACUUUACUGAUGUGUAAUAUGCUGUAUAUAUGCAAUACAUAUCACUUGAUGCUGAAUGAGAUUAGUAGAACUGACAUUGUACACUAACAGCUUUUGUCUUUUGCUGGGCUGGGGGACUUCUGGCUGUAUUGACUCUUUUGAAGGGUAAGUAACCUGGACAACCACCCUGGAUACUACUCUGUGAAUGAAUGCACCUGGGAGUCCCCCUUUAGAGUGGCAUUGUCAAGAGAUUUGAAAGUAGAUGACUGGCUUUAAAAGCCUCCUAAUAGAUAUAGAACAUAUUUUGUUAAUUUAUUACAUGCUUUAUGCCAUGCUUUACUGCUUUACCUUGACAGCGAUUGAAUGUACCACUGACAAUGAAUGUUAAUAGGUUAGAUGGAACAGUAUUUUUGUAGUUGAGGAUUUGGCCAUUUUAGACUGGUGUACUGAUGUACCAAAUGAAAAAAUCCAGCUCUAAAAUAAUAACCUCUCUAUCUCACAAUGGUGACGCAAACGAAUAAAAAUAAAAAAGGUUGCAAGGUUAGAGCACCAAGGCUGUGAUCCUAUUAGGGUCAAUGUCAUUUAUAGACUGGCUUAAACCUGUAUAUAAGAGAGGUCCUUGACUUGAAAUGGAGACAAGUAAGUGUGACAAAGCAAAAAGAACUGUUAUUCAUAGUACUCCCUUUGACAUGACAAACAAUGUUGCGUACAAAUUGUAAAUUCUCAUUCUGUAAUAUUUAAUUUACAGAUUUUCUUUAGUUUUCAUAAAUUAAUUCUCAAAUGCAUUAGACAGUAUUUCCUUUUUGUGAAUCGUCCACAGAUACCCCACAGAUUCUUCACUGUUGUAUGUUGUUGGUUUGUAACAGUUAUGUAUUUUUAAUAUUUUGCAUAUUUGCACAUUGGAGUAUUUAUACAUGAUUUGUAAUGUGUUUGAUUGUUUGAAAAAGCACCUUUGGAUUGCUAUGCAACAAUUAAAGUUAAUGUAUGGCAGAAUAAAACUGCAUUUGUGUUAUAAAUGAA
This is a long non-coding RNA of Boleophthalmus pectinirostris (great blue-spotted mudskipper), 2428 nucleotides long. RefSeq lists it as uncharacterized. The transcript is spliced from 2 exons. Lineage: Eukaryota; Metazoa; Chordata; Actinopteri; Gobiiformes; Gobiidae. The record is from RefSeq and is a predicted model, not a curated record.